UGGGGAAUAUUGGACAAUGGGCGCAAGCCUGAUCCAGCCAUGCCGCGUGAGUGAUGAAGGCCCUAGGGUUGUAAAGCUCUUUCACCGGUGAAGAUAAUGACGGUAACCGGAGAAGAAGCCCCGGCUAACUUCGUGCCAGCAGCCGCGGUAAUACGAAGGGGGCUAGCGUUGUUCGGAUUUACUGGGCGUAAAGCGCACGUAGGCGGACUAUUAAGUCAGGGGUGAAAUCCCGGGGCUCAACCCCGGAACUGCCUUUGAUACUGGUAGUCUUGAGUGCGAGAGAGGUGAGUGGAAUUCCGAGUGUAGAGGUGAAAUUCGUAGAUAUUCGGAGGAACACCAGUGGCGAAGGCGGCUCACUGGCUGGAUACUGACGCUGAGGUGCGAAAGCGUGGGGAGCAAACAGG
RNAcentral lists this ribosomal RNA (404 nucleotides) under Actinomycetes bacterium. RNAcentral describes it as "Actinobacteria bacterium partial 16S ribosomal RNA". It matches the Rfam family "Bacterial small subunit ribosomal RNA", at positions 355 to 776 of the family's 1533-position model. The record is from RNAcentral. Lineage: Bacteria; Bacillati; Actinomycetota; Actinomycetes.